RNAcentral lists this ribosomal RNA (344 nucleotides) under uncultured bacterium. RNAcentral describes it as "bacterial SSU rRNA". It matches the Rfam family "Bacterial small subunit ribosomal RNA", at positions 8 to 334 of the family's 1533-position model. The record is from RNAcentral.
AGGGUUUGAUCAUGGCUCAGGAUGAACGCUGGCGGCGUGCUUAACACAUGCAAGUCGAGCGAAGCAUGGGAGCGGAAGUUUUCGGAUGGAAGCGCCCAUGACUGAGCGGCGGACGGGUGAGUAACGCGUGGGGAACCUGCCCCGUACCGGGGGAUAACAGCCGGAAACGGCUGCUAAUACCGCAUAAGCGCACAGGGCCGCAUGGCCCGGUGUGAAAAGCUCCGGCAGUACGGGAUGGCCCCGCGUCCGAUUAGGUAGUUGGUGGGGCAGCGGCCCACCAAGCCGACGAUCGGUAGCCGGCCUGAGAGGGCGGACGGCCACAUUGGGACUGAGACACGGCCCAA